GGGUGAGUAACGCGUGGGUACCUGCCUAUUAGUGGGGGACAACAGUCGGAAACGGCUGCUAAUACCGCAUAAUCUCUACGGAGGAAAGCGGGGGAUUCUUCGGAACCUCGCGCUGAUAGAUGGGCCCGCGUCUGAUUAGCUUGUUGGUAAGGUAAUGGCUUACCAAGGCGAUGAUCAGUAACUGGUUUGAGAGGAUGAUCAGUCACACUGGAACUGAGACACGGUCCAGACUCC
RNAcentral lists this ribosomal RNA (234 nucleotides) under uncultured bacterium. RNAcentral's name for it is "partial 16S ribosomal RNA". It matches the Rfam family "Bacterial small subunit ribosomal RNA", at positions 104 to 339 of the family's 1533-position model. The record is from RNAcentral.